AACCUAGCACACCUGCGGUGUGUACCUGCGGAGGGAUCAUUACACAAUACAAUAUGAAGGCUGUCCGCAGCUGGAGUAUUUUAUUACCCUUGUCUUUUGCGCACUUGUUGUUUCCUGGGCGGGUUCGCUCGCCACCAGGACCACCAAAUAAACCUUUUUUAUGCAGUUGCAAUCAGCGUCAGUACAGACAAUGUAAAUCAUUUACAACUUUCAACAACGGAUCUCAGAUCGGAAGAGCAC
Molecule: unclassified non-coding RNA, 240 nt
Filed under: soil metagenome
Description: partial contains 5.8S ribosomal RNA, internal transcribed spacer 2, and large subunit ribosomal RNA
Source: RNAcentral